Molecule: ribosomal RNA, 254 nt
Filed under: uncultured bacterium
Lineage: Bacteria
Description: partial 16S ribosomal RNA
Rfam family: Bacterial small subunit ribosomal RNA
Source: RNAcentral
UACGGAGGGGGGCUAGCGUUGUUCGGAAUUACUGGGCGUAAAGCGCACGUAGGCGGCUUUUGUAAGUUAGAGGUGAAAGCCCAGGGCUUAACCCUGGAAUUGCCUUUAAGACUGCAUCGCUAGAAUCGUGGAGAGGUGAGUGGAAUUCCGAGUGUAGAGGUGAAAUUCGUAGAUAUUCGGAAGAACACCAGUGGCGAAGGCGACUCACUGGACACGUAUUGACGCUGAGGUGCGAAAGCGUGGGAGCAAACAGG